RNAcentral lists this ribosomal RNA (484 nucleotides) under uncultured bacterium. RNAcentral's name for it is "bacterial SSU rRNA". It matches the Rfam family "Bacterial small subunit ribosomal RNA", at positions 28 to 490 of the family's 1533-position model. The record is from RNAcentral.
GACGAACGCUGGCGGCGUGCCUAACACAUGCAAGUCGAACGGAGGCGGGAGUUAGGAUUGAGGGAACAAAAAAUUGCGCCCUGAAUCCUGAUUCCUUGCCUAAGUGGCGGACGGGUGAGUAACGCGUGAGUAACCUGCCCUUUUGAGGGGGAUAACAUCGGGAAACCGAUGCUAAUACCGCAUAAAAUAUGAAAUUCGCAUGAGUUUUAUAUCAAAGGAGCAAUCCGCAAAAAGAUGGACUCGCGUCCGAUUAGCCAGUUGGCGGGGUAAAGGCCCACCAAAGCAACGAUCGGUAGCCGGGUUGAGAGACUGAACGGCCACAUUGGGACUGAGACACGGCCCAGACUCCUACGGGAGGCAGCAGUGGGGGAUAUUGCACAAUGGGGGAAACCCUGAUGCAGCAACGCCGCGUGAGGGAAGAAGGUUUUCGGAUUGUAAACCUCUGUCCAAAGGGAAGAAAAAGAUGACGGUACCUUGGAGGAAG